Molecule: ribosomal RNA, 255 nt
Filed under: uncultured bacterium
Lineage: Bacteria
Description: partial 16S ribosomal RNA
Rfam family: Bacterial small subunit ribosomal RNA
Source: RNAcentral
UACAGAGGUCCCAAGCGUUGUUCGGAUUCACUGGGCGUAAAGGGUGCGCAGGUGGUUUGGCAAGUUCGAUGUGAAAGCCCCGGGCUUAACCCGGGAAUGGCAUUGAAAACUGCUGGACUGGAGGAUCGGAGGGGGACUGGAAUUCUUGGUGUAGCAGUGAAAUGCGUAGAUAUCAAGAGGAACACCAGUGGCGAAGGCGAGUCCCUGGACGAUACCUGACACUGAGGCACGAAAAGCCAAGGGGAGCAAAACAGG